Molecule: transfer RNA, 77 nt
Filed under: compost metagenome
Description: tRNA-Met
Rfam family: tRNA
About the family: Transfer RNA (tRNA) molecules are approximately 80 nucleotides in length.
Source: RNAcentral
GGGCCUAUAGCUCAGUUGGUUAGAGCAGCGGACUCAUAAUCCGUUGGUCCACGGUUCGAGUCCGUGUGGGCCCACCA